CAGGCUUCUUAAUCAAGAAAUCAGACGAGCAUCAGGUUUCAGUCAAGGUUUUGUAGAUCAUGAAAGAUACGAACAUGAGAGUCCUUAUCGGUCAUUGGGUCAGCAGCGAAAUGGAAGAUCAAUGGAUUUUGAAGCAUGGUCUGGGAUGCAAACAGAGGAAAACGGGCAUCUUCAAAGAAUGGCCUCAUUUCAUGCUGCUUCAAUGGGCUGGCCUGGGGUCCC
This 222-nucleotide unclassified non-coding RNA is filed under the name Hevea brasiliensis (rubber tree). Lineage: Eukaryota; Viridiplantae; Streptophyta; Magnoliopsida; Malpighiales; Euphorbiaceae. The record is from RNAcentral.